UACGUAGGGGGCGAGCGUUAUCCGGAAUUACUGGGCGUAAAGCGCACGCAGGCGGUUCGCCAAGUUUGGAGUGACAGUUGUCGGCUCAACCGACAAAGGACUUCAAAAACUGGUGAACUUGAGGACGAGAGAGGAACAUGGAACUCCAGGUGUAGUAGUGAAAUGCGUAGAUAUCUGGAAGAACACCAAUGGCGAAGGCGGCUUCCUGGUCUGCGACUGACGCUGUGGCGCGAAAGCUAGGGGAGCAAACGGG
This 253-nucleotide ribosomal RNA is filed under the name uncultured bacterium. RNAcentral's name for it is "partial 16S ribosomal RNA". It matches the Rfam family "Bacterial small subunit ribosomal RNA", at positions 524 to 776 of the family's 1533-position model. The record is from RNAcentral.